CACACAUUGCAACUACCACCACUGACAGUUACUAUUCAAUUUUUUUUUCUUUCAAAGUAACUUCACGUGAUCAGAUAGGAAAAUUAAAUUAUAUUUUAUACAAAAGUGUUUCUGUUAUCUAUUUAAUUUCGAGAGGUAAUCUGUACCAGCAUCGCUGUCGAGUAGAACUGUUCAAGAUGUAGGUGUGAUAACGAACUAAUACGGGUUACGAUGUAAUCUGCAUAAUAAUGCGCGGGCGUUAUUGGUCCGUGGAUUUCUCUUCGGCUGCAUACAGAUUCAAAAUUACUGAGACGCUUUCGAGCUUCUCGCGUCGUACACGUGAUGAUAGAAGUUGAAUCAGUGCGCCCGGAAUUUCAGCCUUCUUUCCCUCCCCUCCCCUACGCCGAUCGUGGAUUGCCGCUGAAUUUUAAUGGCUCCUAAAGACACCGGGACUUCUCCGUGGCUUUAAAUUUAUUCCGCCUGUUUUCCGCCUCUCGGCCGGCAUUACUUACAAUUUAAUUAUGAUAUGUACCGAAGGAACCGCGCUAACAUUGAAUUAUUUUCCCAUGACCAAAAAGAAUUGGUAAAAGUUACCUCGAGGAUGGCCAUCGAGAAAAUCCUGCACAAUUAGAAAUUAUAAUUUUUACAAUAAUCUCAA
This is a long non-coding RNA of Wasmannia auropunctata (little fire ant), 637 nucleotides long. RefSeq lists it as uncharacterized. The transcript has 2 exons. The record is from RefSeq and is a predicted model, not a curated record. Lineage: Eukaryota; Metazoa; Arthropoda; Insecta; Hymenoptera; Formicidae.